Non-coding RNA from Macaca mulatta (Rhesus monkey), 766 nucleotides. The record is from RefSeq and is a predicted model, not a curated record. NCBI's taxonomy places the organism in Eukaryota, Metazoa, Chordata, Mammalia, Primates, Cercopithecidae.
UGGCCGGAUGAACUCUGUCUCUGAUUGGCAGGAGAGUCACGAACCGGUCAGCCCCGGGUCAGGGGCCGCAAGUGAGGAGGCUACAAGUGUCAAGGGGCCUAAGGGAAGCCGGGGCUUAUGAGGGCCGGGCUUUCUCUGCUUGCGGACACCGCGAACGGCCCCUGGCAAGGGUCGCCGGAUGUCGGCGAGACGCCUCCGUGCCUCUGGGGUUCCUCGUUCGCUGUCGGCGGAGGACUGGCUGAGGGAUGGCCUGGUGGGGAGGGAAUCCUCUGGCAGGUGGCUGCGUCGGGCCUAGGGCAGUUGCGCGGCGCUUGGAGACCUGCCCGCCCUCGGGGCCUGUGUGCACAGGGAGGAUAGCUUGUUGAUCUGCAGGCUCAGGAAGGAAGAGAGUAAAAAUCUUGCUGAAGAAGAGUAGGCCUUUCGUUUAGCAAUUGUGAAGAAAACCAACCACGCUGCACCUCUUUCAGCAAGCUGCAAUGUGGUAAACUGCCUUUGAAAGAGACCCACAUGUCAAGAAACUGAGCAUCUCCUGUGGCCAACAGCCAGCAAGUCAUGGAAGCCCCAAGACGAACGGCUUGUGCAAAACUAAAUUCUGCCUACAACAAAAGCAUGAAUUGAGACGCAGAUCCUUCCCUAGUUGAUCCUUGAAAUGCUUGCAGCUCUGUGGACAUCUUGAUUGCAGCCUUGUGAGAAAUUCUGAACCAGAGGACCUUGUAUGCCUUACCCAUAGGACUUAGAAGACAAUAAAUGUUUUUCAAAGAAGUAA